This 705-nucleotide ribosomal RNA is filed under the name bacterium 40-L049659-122-016-H05. RNAcentral describes it as "bacterial SSU rRNA". It matches the Rfam family "Bacterial small subunit ribosomal RNA", at positions 60 to 757 of the family's 1533-position model. The record is from RNAcentral.
AGUCGAGCGGAUGAGAGGAGCUUGCUCCUGGAUUCAGCGGCGGACGGGUGAGUAAUGCCUAGGAAUCUGCCUGGUAGUGGGGGACAACGUUUCGAAAGGAACGCUAAUACCGCAUACGUCCUACGGGAGAAAGCAGGGGACCUUCGGGCCUUGCGCUAUCAGAUGAGCCUAGGUCGGAUUAGCUAGUUGGUGAGGUAAUGGCUCACCAAGGCGACGAUCCGUAACUGGUCUGAGAGGAUGAUCAGUCACACUGGAACUGAGACACGGUCCAGACUCCUACGGGAGGCAGCAGUGGGGAAUAUUGGACAAUGGGCGAAAGCCUGAUCCAGCCAUGCCGCGUGUGUGAAGAAGGUCUUCGGAUUGUAAAGCACUUUAAGUUGGGAGGAAGGGUUGUAGAUUAAUACUCUGCAAUUUUGACGUUACCGACAGAAUAAGCACCGGCUAACUCUGUGCCAGCAGCCGCGGUAAUACAGAGGGUGCAAGCGUUAAUCGGAAUUACUGGGCGUAAAGCGCGCGUAGGUGGUUUGUUAAGUUGGAUGUGAAAUCCCCGGGCUNCACCUGGGAACUGCAUCCAAAACUGGCAAGCUAGAGUAUGGUAGAGGGGUGGUGGGAAUUUCCUGUGUAGCGGUGAAAUGCGUAGAUAUAGGGAGGGAACACCAGUGGCGAAGGCGACCACCUGGACUGAUACUGACACUGAGGUGCGAA